CAGGUCUACAAGAACGCGCAGAGAAACACAUUUCUGCUGACUCCGAGGCAUACGACGAAAGAAGCAUCAAAGAUCUCAAUGCCGGGCUAAGCAAACCAUCGGACCCCAGCUUCCACAACAUCAUUGACCAAUGGUAUCAGGAGGGUCGGAGAUUUUCUUUCUCUUCUAAAAAGUUUACUCGGGACAAAUGGCCGCUUUUUUCUAAUUUAGUUGACCCUUUACUGCACAAAGUGGGUUGUGCGAAAAAUACUUAUAGGCGGAAUAACGCUUUCCAAUUGUAUUUGGCUUGCUAUUACGGCACUGAUCAAACAGUUCUACAGAAGGAAAAAAUUGCGUUUGAAUACGGUUUACCGUGUACUCAGUGCCCUGAGCCACACAACCAGUGUAGUAAUUAUUUGUGCUCUAAGUGUACAGACAGAAGGAAGAGGUGUA
This is a long non-coding RNA of Physella acuta, 432 nucleotides long. RefSeq lists it as uncharacterized. The record is from RefSeq and is a predicted model, not a curated record. Lineage: Eukaryota; Metazoa; Mollusca; Gastropoda; Physidae.